UUUAGUAUGUGUUUUGUCAGUAUGUAUGACCAUUUAUUUUGGAGGGCAAAAGUAGCACUUAGCCACAAGAGACUUUCUUUAAUGACCAGUUCAAAGAUAACCAGUCCUAUUCUCAGCCUUUAAUUUUCUACUUUACUUCAAAAUCAUUGUUGUUCUUAAAUGCUUGAUAUUCAGCUUUGAUCUUGUAGCUCUUCCUGUGUGAUGCUCCAUUCCUCCUUUAUAUUGAUCAGAUCUCCUAACCUGAUAUCAUCAGCUAAUGAUUUUUCAUUAGUACACUCUUAAUAGUAGCCUG
RNAcentral lists this long non-coding RNA (292 nucleotides) under Gallus gallus (chicken). Lineage: Eukaryota; Metazoa; Chordata; Aves; Galliformes; Phasianidae. The record is from RNAcentral.